RNAcentral lists this ribosomal RNA (253 nucleotides) under uncultured bacterium. RNAcentral's name for it is "partial 16S ribosomal RNA". It matches the Rfam family "Bacterial small subunit ribosomal RNA", at positions 524 to 777 of the family's 1533-position model. The record is from RNAcentral.
UACAGAGGGGCAAGCGUUAUUCGGAAUUAUUGGGCGUAAAGGGCGCGUAGGCGGCUUGGCAAGUGGAUGGUGAAAUCCCUCGGCUUAACCGAGGAACUGCCGUCCAAACUGCUUUGCUUGAGGCCGGGAGAGGCGAGUGGAAUUCCCAGUGUAGCGGUGAAAUGCGUAGAUAUUGGAAGGAACGCCGGUGGCGAAAGCGACACACUGGACCUUGUCUGACGCUGAGGCACGAAAGCCAGGGGAGCAAACGGGG